This 121-nucleotide unclassified non-coding RNA is filed under the name Homo sapiens (human). Lineage: Eukaryota; Metazoa; Chordata; Mammalia; Primates; Hominidae. The record is from RNAcentral.
CAUGGCCGGGCGCAGUGGCUCACGCCUGUAAUCCCAGCACAUUGGGAGGCUGAGGCGAGCGAAUCACGAGGUCAGGAGAUCAAGACCAUCCUGGCUAACACGGUGAAACCCCGUCUCUACU